This 616-nucleotide ribosomal RNA is filed under the name uncultured crenarchaeote. Its description in RNAcentral is "bacterial SSU rRNA". It matches the Rfam family "Archaeal small subunit ribosomal RNA", at positions 343 to 961 of the family's 1478-position model. Lineage: Archaea; Thermoproteati; Thermoproteota. The record is from RNAcentral.
GAAAACUCCGCAAUGCACGAAAGUGUGACGGGGCUACCCCGAGUGCUGUCCGCUGAGGAUGGCUUUUCUCUGGUGUAAGGAGCCGGGGGAAUAAGGAGAGGGCAAGUCUGGUGUCAGCCGCCGCGGUAAUACCAGCUCUCCGAGUGGUAGGGAUGCUUAUUGGGCUUAAAGCGUCCGUAGCUGGCUCUCCAAGUCUCUCGUUAAAUCCAGCGAUUCAAUCGUUGGACUGCGGGAGAUACUGUUGGGCUGGGGGGCGGGAGAAGCCGACGGUAUUUCCGGUGUAGGGGUAAAAUCCUAUAAUCCCGGGAGGACCACCAGUGGCGUAGGCGGUCGGCUAGCACGCGCCCGACGGUGAGGGACGAAAGCUGGGGGAGCAAACCGGAUUAGAUACCCGGAUAGUCCCAGCUGUAAACGAUGCGGGCUAGGUGUUGGAGCGGUCACGAGCCGCUUCAGUGCCGCAGGGAAGCCAUUAAGCCCGCCGCCUGGGGAGUACGGCCGCAAGGCUGAAACUUAAAGGAAUUGGCGGGGGAGCACCACAAGGGGUGAAGCUUGCGGUUUAAUUGGAGUCAACGCCGGGAACCUUACCGGGGGCGACAGCUGAAUGAAAGCCAGAUUG